MicroRNA precursor from Mesocricetus auratus (golden hamster), 81 nucleotides. NCBI's taxonomy places the organism in Eukaryota, Metazoa, Chordata, Mammalia, Rodentia, Cricetidae. The record is from Ensembl.
CCCACCUAGUGGUCAUCAAAGUGGAUGCCCUCUCUGAGGCAGAACCAGAAAGUGCUUUCACUUUGUGUCUCGCUGUGUGGG